Piliocolobus tephrosceles (Ugandan red Colobus) is the source of this 1595-nucleotide long non-coding RNA. The record is from Ensembl. Lineage: Eukaryota; Metazoa; Chordata; Mammalia; Primates; Cercopithecidae.
UAUGUAUGUGUUAUAAUAUCGUUAUGUAUGUGCGUCUCACAAGAGGUUCCAUUCGUUUUGCUUAUACAGUUCGCUUCUUUACUUUUUUUUUUUUUCACCCGUCGCUACGUAGGCUGUACAAAGAAUAUAUCGAAAAAGAGGACUCGCCAAACUACAACUGGCUAGUUCGUUGCUUCUGUCAGUUAGCUAACGUAUUCGGCUUUAAUUCCUUUUGGAGCGUGAAAGAUAAACAAUCAAUUCACGAGUUAAAAUUAUUUAAAUAUAUGGUAUAUGAUUUGAUCGAAAAUAAACAAUUUAUAAAAAGUAGGCACUGUCCUAGAUUAUUGUAUGCAAUGUGCUGUUUAGAUUAUAGAUGCCAUUUUCUUCUACCAACAAUCCUGGAAUUGAUAGAAAUGAAUUUAACAGAAUACCGAGUACCGACUUUGUGUAUGACCGCUUUCUGUUUGUCAUACCUAGGUUUACUAAACAAAGAUAUACAAUUUGGAAAUGGAAAUAAUUUAUCGAGAAGUUAUAAUUUAAUAACAAAAAUAAUAGAUAUUAUACAUAAAAAAAAAGAAGAAGCACAAAAAGACACAACUAACUUUUGUUGGUCUUUAUUAGCUUAUGUAUUAGUUUUAAAUAAUAUGUAUGAAUACCCUUGUACUCCUAACAGUUUUAUGUGCGAUAUUUUAAAAAAUGCAUGUUCAGGCUUAACGAAAGAAAAUUUACCAGAAUCUGGGUGGAUCCAAUAUUUUUUAUAUAUGACUCUUUACUGUUGUGAUGUUGAAAAGCCAUUAAAUGAAAAAAGUAUUAAAGAGUCAAUCCCUUUUUUUAUUCAGGAAUAUUUACAUUUAAAAUGGCUAGAUAAUAUAUUAAUAACUGCCCAAAAUCAAGGUUCUGAAAAAAUACAACUAGAAAUGGAAAAUAUCAUACAAAAAUUACAAAUAAAAGAUUUUUUUAUUAAUUUAUCAGUUGGUAGAAAAAUUGAUGAGCAGCACUGUUUUUUCGCAUCUCAUUUUUAUAAACCUUUAAACUUAUGCAUAGAAUAUGACUAUUUUCACCCGAUAGGUUUAAACAGACCAUUAGUCAAUGGCAUUGUGUCAUUAAAAAACCGUAUUUUUAAAAAAUUAGAUUUUAAUGUUGUUAAUAUUCAUAAGUGUUAUUGGGAUGUGUUAACAAAUGAACAAAAAGAAUCGCAGUUAAUAAAAAUUAUCGAAACGUUUAAAAAUAAACAAGGCAUAAAGCAUAUGAAACAAUCGAAGGACUUAUAUGAAGAUAAACAGUUUGAUUCGGAUAUUAUUCAUUUGAAGCAUAAACGUGUGAAAUAUCAUACAUGGCCUCCAGAAAAUUUAGUAGUAUAAAAUGGGCCAACAUACUGUGUAUUUACAUAUACAUAUAUAUAUGUAUAUAUAUACAUAUGUAUAUGUACGUGUAUAUGUUGAGUCACAUAAUUUUUUUAUCAAACCAGUACCAUUAUUACGACAUUACUUACUCGAUUAGUGUACCUCUUUUUACCAUGUCAUUUUUUUUUUUGAAAUACUAUUUCGUGUCUUAACCUUAUUUAUUUUGAUUUUUUUCUUUUUAAUUAAUAAAAUAUAUCACGUUCUUUAUAUACA